AUGCAUGCAAGUCGCACGCACCUUCGGGUGAGUGGCGCACGGCUGAGGAACACGUGGCUAACCUGCCCAUGAGUGGGGGAUAACGGGCCGAAAGGCUCGCUAAUCCCGCAUACGAUCCGCGCAAGUGGAGGAAAGCCGUAAGGCGCUCAUGGAGGGGGCCGCGCCCCAUUAGAUCGUUGGUGUGGUAAUGGCGCACCAAGUCUGUGAUGGGUUCCGGGUCUGAGAGGACGAUCCGGCAGACUGGGACUGAGACACGGCCCAGGCUCCUGCGGGGGGCAGCAGCAAGGAAUUUUCCCCAAUGGGCGCAAGCCUGAGGGAGCAACGCCGCGUGGAGGAUGACGGCUUUCGGGUUGUAAACUCCUUUUUAUGGGGACGAUAAUGACGGUACCCAUGGAAUAAGCCCCGGCUAACUACGUGCCAGCAGCCGCGGUAAUACGUAGGGGGCAAGCGUUGUCCGGACUUACUGGGCGUAAAGCGCGUGCAGGCGGAUGUGUAUGUGCCGUGUGAAAGCUCUCGGCUUGCCCGGGAGAGGUCGCGGUAGACAGCUCAUCUGGAGGCUCGGAGAGGUCAGUGGAAUUCCCGGUGUAGUGGUGAAAUGCGUAGAUAUCGGGAGGAACACCAGUGGCGCAAGCGGCUGACUGGCCGAGACCUGACGCUGAGACGCGACGGCGUGGGGAGCAAACCGGAUUAGAUACCCGGGUAGUCCACGCAGUAAACGAUGCACACACCGCCCGUCAAGC
Molecule: ribosomal RNA, 740 nt
Filed under: uncultured bacterium
Lineage: Bacteria
Description: bacterial SSU rRNA
Rfam family: Bacterial small subunit ribosomal RNA
Source: RNAcentral